Molecule: ribosomal RNA, 467 nt
Filed under: uncultured bacterium
Lineage: Bacteria
Description: partial 16S ribosomal RNA
Rfam family: Bacterial small subunit ribosomal RNA
Source: RNAcentral
GACGAACGCUGGCGGCGUGCUUAACACAUGCAAGUCGAACGGAAAGGCCCUGCUUUUGUGGGGUGCUCGAGUGGCGAACGGGUGAGUAACACGUGAAUAACCUGCCCUUGACUUUGGGAUAACUUCAGGAAACUGGGGCUAAUACCGGAUAGGAGCUCCUGCUGCAUGGUGGGGGUUGGAAAGUUUCGGCGGUUGGGGAUGGACUCGCGGCUUAUCAGCUUGUUGGUGGGGUAGUGGCUUACCAAGGCUUUGACGGGUAGCCGGCCUGAGAGGGUGACCGGCCACAUUGGGACUGAGAUACGGCCCAGACUCCUACGGAGGCAGCAGUGGGGAAUAUUGCACAAUGGGCGGAAGCCUGAUGCAGCAACGCCGCGUGCGGGAUGACGGCCUUCGGGUUGUAAACCGCUUUCGCCUGUGACGAAGCGUGAGUGACGGUAAUGGGUAAAGAAGCACCGGCUAACUACGUG